GACACCGUAGAUAAUAAGUCGGUCUUGGCAUAAAGUUCCGGGAAGUUUUCGGCGACGUGGAUACCAUCUUCGACGCUGGAACAAAUCCAGGGAUGGAGUCCAGGAUUUCCUGCGGCUUCGGCGCUUCCUGACCUGGCGCGACUGCCGACUUCUCCGCACUACUCAGCUCAAGAUCCCAGAGGAAGAGGAGUCAUCUUUCCCAGUGACUUUAGCAGAAAAGUCCCUGAGUCAGUCACUGUGCCCACUGGAAGACAAAUGGAGACUCACCAAGCUUUGGUCAUGAACUCACUGGGACUGCAAGAGACUGGGUCAGCCCCACCAAAAUAAUGCAGAAGGGAAAUACGUGGUUUUUCAAAGGAAAGACAGAUUUGCCUUCCCACCUAAAAGCUAAAAGCUUCCACAAGGGACUUGUAACAACCUAGGAGUAUUAGCCGGGUGUGGUGGUGCAUGCCUGUAGGCCC
Molecule: long non-coding RNA, 461 nt
Organism: Cercocebus atys (sooty mangabey)
Lineage: Eukaryota; Metazoa; Chordata; Mammalia; Primates; Cercopithecidae
Exons: 3
Source: RefSeq, a predicted model, not a curated record